GAUUCUGGCUCAGGACGAACGCUGGCGGCACGCUUAACACAUGCAAGUCGAACGAGAGAAGAGAAGCUUGCUUUUCUGAUCUAGUGGCGGACGGGUGAGUAACACGUGAGCAAUCUGCCUUUCAGAGGGGGAUACCGAUUGGAAACGAUCGUUAAUACCGCAUAACAUAAUUGAACCGCAUGAUUUGAUUAUCAAAGAUUUAUCGCUGAAAGAUGAGCUCGCGUCUGAUUAGCUAGUUGGUAAGGUAACGGCUUACCAAGGCGACGAUCAGUAGCCGGACUGAGAGGUUGAUCGGCCACAUUGGGACUGAGACACGGCCCAGACUCCUACGGGAGGCAGCAGUGGGGAAUAUUGCACAAUGGAGGAAACUCUGAUGCAGCGAUGCCGCGUGAGGGAAGAAGGUUUUAGGAUUGUAAACCUCUGUCUUCAGGGACGAAAAAUGACGGUACCUGAGGAGGAAGCUCCGGCUAACUACGUGCCAGCAGCCGCGGUAAUACGUAGGGAGCGAGCGUUGUCCGGAAUUACUGGGUGUAAAGGGAGCGUAGGCGGGAUCGCAAGUCAGAUGUGAAAACUAUGGGCUUAACCCAUAAACUGCAUUUGAAACUGUGGUUCUUGAGUGAAGUAGAGGUAAGCGGAAUUCCUAGUGUAGCGGUGAAAUGCGUAGAUAUUAGGAGGAACAUCAGUGGCGAAGGCGGCUUACUGGGCUUUAACUGACGCUGAGGCUCGAAAGCGUGGGGGGCAAACAGGAUUAGAUACCCUGGUAGUCCACGCCGUAAACGAUGAUUACUAGGUGUGGGGGGACUGACCCCUUCCGUGCCGCAGCAAACGCAAUAAGUAAUCCACCUGGGGAGUACGACCGCAAGGUUGAAACUCAAAGGAAUUGACGGGGGCCCGCACAAGCAGUGGAGUAUGUGGAUUAAUUCGAAGCAACGCGAAGAACCUUACCAGGUCUUGACAUCGUAUGCAUAGCUCAGAGAUGAGUGAAAUCUCUUCGGAGACAUAUAGACAGGUGGUGCAUGGUUGUCGUCAGCUCGUGUCGUGAGAUGUUGGGUUAAGUCCCGCAACGAGCGCAACCCUUACUGUUAGUUGCUACGCAAGAGCACUCUAGCAGGACUGCCGUUGACAAAACGGAGGAAGGUGGGGAUGACGUCAAAUCAUCAUGCCCCUUAUGACCUGGGCCUCACACGUACUACAAUGGCUGUCAACAGAGGGAAGCAAAGCCGCGAGGUGGAGCAAACCCCUAAAAGCAGUCUUAGUUCGGAUUGUAGGCUGCAACCCGCCUACAUGAAGUCGGAAUUGCUAGUAAUCGCAGAUCAGCAUGCUGCGGUGAAUACGUUCCCGGGCCUUGUACACACCGCCCGUCACGCCAUGGGAGUCGGUAACACCCGAAGCCUGUAGUCUAACCGCAAGGAGGACGCAGUCGAAGGUGGGAUUGAUGACUGGGGUGAAGUCGUAACAAGGUACCC
RNAcentral lists this ribosomal RNA (1466 nucleotides) under uncultured bacterium. RNAcentral's name for it is "16S ribosomal RNA". It matches the Rfam family "Bacterial small subunit ribosomal RNA". The record is from RNAcentral.